GAUGAACGCUGGCGGCGUGCCUAAUACAUGCAAGUCGAGCGAACGGACGAGAAGCUUGCUUCUCUGAUGUUAGCGGCGGACGGGUGAGUAACACGUGGAUAACCUACCUAUAAGACUGGGAUAACUUCGGGAAACCGUAGCUAAUACCGGAUAAUAUUUUGAACCGCAUGGUUCAAAAGUGAAAGACGGUCUUGCUGUCACUUCUAGAUGGAUCCGCGCUGCAUUAGCUAGUUGGUAAGGUAACGGCUUAUCAAGGCAACGAUGCAUAGCCGACCUGAGAGGGUGAUCGGCCACACUGGAACUGAGACACGGUCCAGACUCCUACGGGAGGCAGCAGUAGGGAAUCUUCCGCAAUGGGCGAAAGCCUGACGGAGCAACGCCGCGUGAGUGAUGAAGGUCUUCGGAUCGUAAAACUCUGUUAUUAGGGAAGAACAUAUGUGUAAGUAACUGUGCACAUCUUGACGGUACCUAAUCAGAAAGCAACGGCUAACUACGUG
RNAcentral lists this ribosomal RNA (497 nucleotides) under uncultured bacterium. RNAcentral describes it as "partial 16S ribosomal RNA". It matches the Rfam family "Bacterial small subunit ribosomal RNA", at positions 28 to 507 of the family's 1533-position model. The record is from RNAcentral.